Molecule: small RNA, 105 nt
Filed under: Treponema denticola ATCC 35405
Lineage: Bacteria; Pseudomonadati; Spirochaetota; Spirochaetia; Treponematales; Treponemataceae
Description: TD-2 RNA
Rfam family: TD-2 RNA
About the family: non coding RNA found in Treponema denticola
Source: Rfam by way of RNAcentral
GGUUUGUUUACAAACCGCAUAUAAUAAUGCGAUGUUUUGUACCUUUGGUACAAAACUCGAUAGAUAAACAGUGAGGCUGAAUUCCUGCCGAACCGUUUAUCGUAU